UAGUAAAAGUUAUAGUCUCGAAAAUUAAAGAAGUUGGCGGUAUCUUAGUCUAUUCAGAGGAAUCUGCCCUGUAAUUGAUGAUCCACGAUUUUUUUUACUUAUUUUAAUUAGUUUGUAUAUCGUCGUAGAUUGAAUAUUUUUAAAAAAGAAUAAUGUUCAAUAAUUUUUUAAGAAAAGAAUUCAGAUCAAGGUAUAGCCUAUAGAUAAGUAGAGGUGGAUUACAAUAAAUUUAUUUAUUAUGGAUUAAUAAAUGAAAAUUUAUUAUGAAGGAGGAUUUGAGGGUAAU
Molecule: ribosomal RNA, 286 nt
Filed under: Dyslobus sp. 1 EMC-2007
Lineage: Eukaryota; Metazoa; Arthropoda; Insecta; Coleoptera; Curculionidae
Description: partial 12S ribosomal RNA
Source: RNAcentral